RNAcentral lists this long non-coding RNA (931 nucleotides) under Gallus gallus (chicken). Its description in RNAcentral is "lncRNA (ENSGALG00010009844.1)". The record is from RNAcentral. Lineage: Eukaryota; Metazoa; Chordata; Aves; Galliformes; Phasianidae.
GUGUCCCUCUCUGGUCCCUCUAUGUGUCCCCCUAUGGGUCAGUGUGUGGGUCAGUGUGUGGGUCCCUCUAUGGGUCACUGUGUGGGUCAAUGUGUGGGUCAGUGUGUGGGUCAGUGUGUGUCCCUCUAUGGGUCCCUCUAUGUGUCCCCCUAUGGGGCAAUGUGUGGGUCAAUGUGUGUCCCUCUAUGGGUCCCUCUAUGGGUCAGUGUGUGGGUCCCUCUAUGGGUCACUGUGUGGGUCAAUGUGUGUCCCUCUAUGGGUCAAUGUGUGUCCCUCUCUGGGUCCCCCUAUGGGUCCCUCUAUGUGUCCCCCUAUGGGGGCAAUGUGUGUCCCUCUAUGGGUCCCCCUAUGGGUCAAUGUGUGUCCCCCUACGGGCCCCCCUAUGGGUCAGUGUGUGUCCCUCUAUGGGUCCCUCUAUGGGUCCCUCUAUGGGUCAGUGUGUGGGUCAUUGUGUGGGUCAGUGUGUGGGUCAGUGUGUGUCCCUCUAUGGGUCCCUCUAUGUGUCCCCCUAUGGGGCAAUGUGUGUCCCUCUAUGGGUCCCCCUAUGGGUCAGUGUGUAGGUCAGUGUGUGGGGUCCCUCUAUGGGUCACUGUGUGGGUCAAUGUGUGUCCCUCUCUGGGUCCCCCUAUGGGUCCCUCUAUGGGUCCCCCUAUGGGUCAAUGUGUGUCCCCCUAUGGGUCCCCCUAUGGGUCCCCCUAUGGGUCAGUGUGUGGGUCAGCGUGUGGGUCAAUGUGUGGGUCAGUGUGUGGGUCAAUGUGUGUCCCUCUAUGUGUCCCCCUAUGGGUCAGUGUGUGGGUCAACGUGUGGGUCAGUGUGUGGGUCAAUGUGUGGGUCACUGCGCGGGGGCCGUCACUCACUGACCCCGGCCCCACGGUGACGCAGGCUUUGGGCCCCAGGCUGAGCACGCGGCCGUCGCAGCGCUGCAGCAGAU